Molecule: ribosomal RNA, 426 nt
Filed under: uncultured bacterium
Lineage: Bacteria
Description: partial 16S ribosomal RNA
Rfam family: Bacterial small subunit ribosomal RNA
Source: RNAcentral
GUGAGGAAUUUUCCGCAAUGGGCGAAAGCCUGACGGAGCAAUGCCGCGUGAAGGAUGAAGGCCUAUGGGUUGUAAACUUCUUUUCUUAGAGAAGAAUAUUGACGGUAUCUGAGGAAUAAGCAUCGGCUAACUCUGUGCCAGCAGCCGCGGUAAGACAGAGGAUGCAAGCGUUAUCCGGAAUGAUUGGGCGUAAAGCGUCUGUAGGUGGCUUCAAAAGUCUCCUGUGAAAGAUCAGGGCUUAACCCUGGGCCGGCAGGAGAACCUCUGAGGCUAGAGUUUGGUAGGGGCAGAGGGAAUUCCCGGUGGAGCGGUGAAAUGCGUAGAGAUCGGGAGGAACACCAAAGGCGAAAGCACUCUGCUGGGCCACAACUGACACUGAGAGACGAAAGCGAGGGGAGCAAAAGGGAUUAGAAACCCUUGUAGUCC